CACACUUUCUCAUCAAGUCUGAGUGGGACUGGGAUCUGGGUCCUUCUCCACACAGCCCUCCAGGAGGCCACUUCCCACCCCCAACCUCCCGCCUGGCUUGUCCGAGGGCUGGGCCUGGGAUGGAAGCUUGGGACGCAUGGAGUAGCCGCAGAGCUGUGCGGCAAAGAAGUUUGCGUGAAGGAACAAGAUAAAGAGAAAACUGGACACUUCAGAGGCUUAGUACAUGUGUUAGCGUGAGCAGAGAACAAGGUGUGGGGAGGCAAGAGUGUGAGGAGAGGCCAAUAGGUGGCAGGGGCCAGACCACAAAGGGUUGUGUGUGUUGUCUGCGGGAGUUGGGAGUUGGUUUGAGAGGCAGCGAGGAGUCACUGAAAACGUUCCAGCUGUGUCGUGGUCAGAGCCGAGUGAAGGAGGGACCGAUGGGAGAAGGACUGGAGCCAGUGCAGCAGUUAUGCAGAAAUGUGGAGGCCGUGCUGUCAGAUGGAGGGAAGGGGCUGCAGAGAAAGGCUGUGGAGAAGGAGACUGGACCAGGUUGAGAGACUGAGCAGUCUGUGGACAGUGGGUUUGGAGAGCUUAGGAUCAUGCGAAGGUUUCAGAAUACUGCCGUACAGACCCCAGGUCCCUUCUGGCAUCCUAUCUGUCUUCUUAUGUGUCGCUUCACCUCUCUAGAUAUGGGGACAAUAUAGCUAGUCCUUGCCGACUGUGACUUCCACCUCACCGCCUGGCUGGACCCAGGUAACAUUUUCUCCAGCCUUCCCUGAGGGUGGCUUGAAGAAGUCCAGCCACCCCUCUCUCCCCGCCACCCUUCUUUCCCAUGGAGAAGGUUCUGGCUCUGUGGGGACCAGGGGCUGAGGGGAAAGGAAGAGGCCAGCCGCACUGCCAUGGGAAUAUGGUGACUCAUUUCAUCAGUUUACUACUCUGAAAAUAAGGUGACUUCCCCCUUUGCUUGACAACUGAUUGAUGAACAUUUCCUGAGUAUUUGCAAAGGAGAUGUUUUGCUUCACGGGCCUUCGUGCUCACAGACUCCCAGCGGAUUCUAACCCUGGUGUGCUCCAGCUUUCCCACCUCCUGGGCUGCUGAGUUUUCUUUUUGUGCAGAAUCUUCAGGACUCACUAGACUUCAGGAUUGGAAACACAAUACUCUUGCGCCUGCUGAUACAACUCUGCUUAUGUUCACUUUUUUGUCAAAAUGUUAAAGAAGGAAGGAUCAUUUUUUAAAAUACUGAAACAGUAUUUUUUUAGCAACAACAGUAUCACCCACACUUAGUAUGUCAACACUGACAGUUGUCUGUAAAAAGAGUGCACUUCAUUUUGCAAGUCUGAAUUUGUUUUGUUUUUAGUUUUUACUUUCUUUCUCAGGAUGUGGGUUUGUAUAUUUUUAGAAGGAUGGUCCUUUACUUCGAUUCCAGAUGUCCUAAUGUUCUUGAUAGGAAAGGAAUCAGCUCUGGACAAUGUGAAUUGCUCUGCUAAGUGAUGGGAUGUUAGUGAAAGCUGCACAGGGAGAAGUGGAAGUAUUACUUUUAGGCCCCAAGAAUGUUCCUUGAUUCCAUUUGUCGAAAUUGAAGUGGAGGCAGUAGGUUUGUAUUAUGGGGUCAGGGCCAUCGUCUUAGGCAGUAGCCAUAGCCCUUAGAUUUGAUUUUCAUAUUUCAAAUGGAGACAGUAAGUUUAACGUGUCUUAUUUGCAGCUGGAACAGAUUCUAUUUUUAAUCUGUAAGUCAAGUAUGGCAUGGAGCCAUGUCUAUCCAGGUCCAAAUGCAUAACUCCUGUUGAUAUCAGUGAAUUUCAUGAUGGAUUGGAAGAAGUAUGUGGCCUUUAUUCCAAAUAUCUAUCUGACCCUGUAGAAUUAAACAUGCUGAACAAAUCCUACCACUUUUCAAGUUAAAAUGAGGUACUUUCUAAUGUAGCAAUCAUGCUGGCUUGAAAGAAUAAUGUAGCAGUUCCAAAGAGGCACACACACCCAUGACUGUGGAAUUGGUUUUCAGGCAGAGAGAGGCGACUGGGCUCAGGGACCUGGCCAGCAUGGGAAAGGACGUGGCUGUAUUGAGCUGCACAAAAUCGCCUUUAAAUAGGAAAGAUAAGAGGAGAAAGCCUUUUCCGUGGAUGGCACUCUGCUCCGGGGGGUACAUGCAGUGUUGUUGGCGAGGAAUUCUAGCAAGAGCCCUCCUGUACCUCCACACUCGCAUUGCCCAGAGGUGGGAAUGGGACGGCAAUAUUCACUCAGAGUUGACUGGUGUUUGCAUCCAUAAAUAAAUGCACUCAAAUCAUAAUUGUUCUAACAGGAUUGUUUGAUUACCUGGCAGUGGCCUUGUUCUGAGAUAGCUUCUGGAUCACCUGUUCGUUGGGAACGUUUGACAGACCUCAUGUUUAUUACCCAAUUGAAUGUCAGUAGCAAUUUCAGCUAAAGAUAAACAAAAAUGCAAGUACUUGUUGACCUUGACUUUUUUCCACAUGAGAUUGGACUUGAUGGCUCUAUUGCUAUUUGGCUGAUAAGGGAUUAUAAACAGCAGUUUAAGGGAAAUGUUUUAUUCCCAGAGGAAAAUGCUCUGUGCGCUGUGGGAAAUGGCAGUAGGCAUGUGUACCCUAGGUCAGAUUUUCUUAGUUCACCUUGAUCUGAGCUGUGGGAAGAGGGUAUGGGGUGUGUGUAGGGGGACUUUUUAUGGCUUUAAUAUACAACUGCAAAGAUUAACAUGAAUACAGUAGGUAGUUAGCAGAUUGAAUACAAUUUUAGAAGAAGUAAAUGAUGUUUCUGAUUUAUGAUACUUAGUAAUAUGAUUUCUUUUGAAACUAUCAUGUUAAUGUAAUAUUGCAUUUCAGAGAUGCAGUUCUUGUAAAAAUGCAAUAGGCUUAUGGUGCCAAAACGCUCUUUCAGAUUCUAAUUAAAAGCAUUAAACGUCAUUGGUUAGUGAUCUCACUAGGGGCAAAGAGGGAGAAAAUUGACCUGGUGAAUAUCUGUACACGGGACAAUACAGAAGUGCUGGGGAAGGGCAUUGGGGAGGGAAUGGCAAUCAGCACUUUCCUUGGGGCACGGAGUCUACAGUUCCAGAUUUGAAUUGAAAAACUCUAAAAACUCUGGGCCUUUAAGGACUCCCAGUUCUUGGUGAGGCAUAAAGCCUCAGCCGUGUGUCCUAUUUGCUCUUUAAAAUCCCAUUGCAUUUCCUUUUGAGGAGAGGUGCUUUGGCUCAAUGCCACUGGCUUCAACUUUUGCUCUUAAAAUGUUGUUUUGAUGCAUAGUAUAGUGAUGGCUGAAUUGAUUUCUGUGCAUAAACAGUGGCCUAGAUUCUUGCCCUGUGGAAAUCCAUGGAAUUAAAACUGUAGGUUCCCGUAGUGAUAAGAGGUAAGCAAAUGAUUAGAUAUGCAUGCAGGGGAAAAAAUUAAGAUGCUCAUAGAAUGGAAAUAAGGUCUAUAUCAUUUGCAAGUUUAAUGUAAAUGUACGCCACUAAUAUAACUAAUAAUUUGAUGCUAAUAUACGAGAGUGAGUAAAUGUAAUUUUAAUCAUUUUCUAUUUGGUGUGUUCUCAAAGAGUUCUGAGCAAAAAUGUACAGUAGUGAAAUACGUCCCUGGCCACCCAGGAUGAAAAUCUGGUCUGCAGACAACUGUGGCCCUUAUGAAACCUCUGGGACACUAGGGACUCAAAUUUCUCUCUAGAUAGAUAUUGCAGGACAAUUUGAGAUCACAGAAUGUAAGCCAGAAUUUCUUGCAGAGAUGGUUAGCACACUGGGCUUCGAGAUUUAUCCAGUAGAUAUCCAAGCUGAGAGUUCAUCCAACAUGCCUUUUUAAGUAGUCACUGGUAGUAUUCAUUAUAUAGACUGGAUUUGAAAAAAAAUUGACCUUCCAAUUAUUUUUCAAAGCAUAGAUUUCCUUGUGAAAAUAUCUCAGGCAAGUUUUGUAUACACUUUUUUGGAGAACAGGUCCUUUGAAUGGUUUUAAAAUAUCAGUAAAGAAAGCCAUACCAUAUAAAGCCAAUUAGGAAUUUCAUCUCUUUUAAAAAGCCACGAUGCCAGAAAAGUCCACUCUCCCCAGGCUUCUUUGCAGAGCCCCACUCCUUUCCAUGGGAAUUUCUUUGGAGAAUAACUGCUUGCUGACUUCCACUUUUCUAUGAAACUUUUGUGAAGAACAGUGGAAAUCUUUGCAGUGACAGAUGCCACUGCAGAUUGUUAUGAUGUCCAUUACUUGGUGAAUGAAAUUAGGAAGAAUUUAUUUCUGACAUGGUACAUACCCUUCCCUGAGACAGAAAGUCUAUAACCUAGAAUCUUUGUUAAAAAAAAAA
Molecule: long non-coding RNA, 4263 nt
Organism: Phyllostomus discolor (pale spear-nosed bat)
Lineage: Eukaryota; Metazoa; Chordata; Mammalia; Chiroptera; Phyllostomidae
Exons: 2
Source: RefSeq, a predicted model, not a curated record